Molecule: long non-coding RNA, 1426 nt
Organism: Melospiza melodia melodia
Lineage: Eukaryota; Metazoa; Chordata; Aves; Passeriformes; Passerellidae
Exons: 2
Source: RefSeq, a predicted model, not a curated record
CCCCGCGCCGGGCCGCCCUCCCCUGCAGAAGCCCACUUCAUGCUUGUCACCUAAAUUGAGGAUCCUUUUUGUGCCGGGAGGGGGGCGAACAUGGGCAUUUCAAUCACUAGGACAUAAUAUGGCUCUGCUAGAAGUCUGGCAACAAACAAAGAACAACAACUAUUGGUUUGCAUCAACUUUUGUCAGGCAUUCAGCAGGCAUCCAGAAAGGCCUGAAGUGGCUUAGUGGCAACAAUGUGCAUUUCAUAGCUACAGCAUGAAAAUCCAUCUCCAUGGAAACGGGUAGUAAAUGCUAACAUGACAUGCUGAGUAUAAAUAUUGUGAGGGUUAUAACUCUUGUAUAAAUGGCCCAGAUAAAUGUCCCCCUGUUUAGGAAUUACAACAAAACAUGUUAUUUCAUGCUGCAGCCCUCGCUAGCUCCCAGAGAGUCCUCCAGAGCCCGGGCACCGUGCAUGGGAAUAACUCCAGGCUUGCCCGCGGGCUGCCGCCAUCCAUCCCGCCCUUGUGGGGCUGCGGCUGCGGCACCUUCAGGGUUUUCUCGUGCCCGGUUUAGGGACCCCGUCCACAGGCUUUGCCUUGCAUUUCUACGCAAAAUAAACCACCCUGUGGUAGCUGUAGUUGGAGAUCGGUGAAACUUCUUUUUCUAUAGGUAGUAACACCUUAGAUACUUUUUUUAAUUAGUAAAGAAUGUCGAAUAGUCUUUAGGCUACCUAAAAAAGCAUUAUUUGGCAAUGUAAAUAUUUACAUUAAUUGCAAAUAAAUGUACUCUCUAAAGUUCCCAACUUUAGUUUCUGUAAAAUAAAGAAUUGUACUUAGUGACCUAAAAAGCAAGAUCAGAGACUAUUGCUUUGUAAAACAAAAACACUUUUCUGACUGAAAACAGAAUUGUUGCUGCUUCAGAACUUCCCGUAUUACCAAAACUGUCCAAUUGUAGAGGGGGAAAAUGGGGUAACCAGGCUGCCGAGCAAUAAAAAGAUAUCAACAUGUUGGCCUUUGUUGAAUCCCAGCACCUAGUGUGACAUGACAUGGUGCCCUGCUGCGUGUGCCCCCGAGGACUGACAGCAGCAGCGGCUCGCGGGAAGGGGAGGGGAGACACGAGCCGGAGAAAUAUUCGUUUAUGGUAGCAAAGGAUAAAAAUAGCUGUCUGUCCGUGCGAGCGGCCCUGGGCUGUGCAGCGCAGAGGGUCAGUUCCAUCCCUCAGGCCGGGCAGGGAAGCCGUGAGCGAGCUGAGAGAGGACACGGCCGAUGGUGGAACACCGGGAUGGGAAUGUGCUCAGAGAGAAUGCCUUGGGCUAGUGAGAUGGAAUGGAGCCCGUGCGGAGCAAGACAGGGAUCGGUAACAUCAGAUGCUUUUUGUUAUCCUGAGUCCUAUUUACAAAUAUCUGGGAAAAAAAAAUUAAAAAGAGAGAAUAAAGUUUACUUAAAUA